RNAcentral lists this long non-coding RNA (615 nucleotides) under Ananas comosus (pineapple). RNAcentral describes it as "long non-coding RNA (ACOM_LNC012442)". Lineage: Eukaryota; Viridiplantae; Streptophyta; Magnoliopsida; Poales; Bromeliaceae. The record is from RNAcentral.
AGAUGAACCCAACCAACUUCAGAUCCAGCAAAAAAACUCGGUAAAAAUCUAGAAAGCAGAAAAAGACGAGUGGCUUUAGGUAUGCUCGAGUUAUUAAUUAAUUAACUUGCGCAACCUUGCCCCAUAUUUAUAACUUAGGCGAGAAUCUUGCUUCAAAGCGUUAAAUCCAUAUAGAACAAGAUAAGUUUAAGAUUAUACGGAUAAGGAUUAGGAUUAGGAUAAAGAUAAAGAUUAAAAUAAAGAUAAAAUCGACAAAAUAAAAAUGGGUGUAUGGACUGUGCGCGCCGCUGCUUGCCCCGGCUCGAUCGUGCCGUGCGUGCGUGUGUUUAAACGAGAGUAUAACUUUCAUUUUUUUCCAAGCAACUAGCUUGAGAAUAAAUGAAUAUAUAAAAAUCACAAACACCUUUUUGGUUUUCAAUGUGGGACUAAAUAUCACACAUAAAAAUUUUAGUUGGACUCCCAAGAGGCCCAUAAACAAUUAUUGGGCUCCUUAAGUGGUUUUAAUAAGUUUUAAAUCACAAAAACGCAAUAAAAUCCAAUCGUUACCGAAGCCACAGCAGUCGUUAUCGAAGCAGGUUGCGGAUUCUCAAGAUCCGGUAUUAGGGCGAGUACCGG